AUACGGGCACUGCCCAGAUGAUAGAAUGAUUCACACUUUUCACUUCAAACAGUGGAUUGUAUUUUUGUAACUUUUAAGAUGCAUUUGUGAUCUUGGGGGUUGGAUGCAAAUGCUCUUUAAUUAUACAUUUAUUUCAGAGAAUGCAUACAUUCCAUGAAUUGUUCCAGAACCUUUUCCUAUAAAUAUCUUCUUUUGGAGUAGCAUCCCCACAUCUGUUUUAGCCUAAACCUUUCCAUGACUUGCCCAUCUUCUACAUGCAGGGCAGUUUACAUUUACAUUCUGCCUUUCUUGGAAGAAUGUAAAACCAAGGCUUUCAUGGAAACCAAGGCAGUGUACAUGUGAUUUUCAGACAGUCACCCAUUGAGGCGCUGCCCAAAUCCAGAUCUGCUUAACUUCAGCAAAGUAAUAUGUGCUUUCAGACCCAUAACUUGGCCCUCAUGCACCUCAGUGAUGUGAGAGUUGGCAAUAAGCCUAUGGGAUGGCUGACCCUAUCAAUUUAUUCUUUCCUAAACAGACAGAUAUAUCAUCUUCCCAAGAAAAAUUACCAGUGACAGAAAAGUACAUGUGCGUAGAACCGGUCAGCUUCUAAUUUUAUAAGCAAUGCACAUUUCUCCCUCAACUCUUCAUUUGUCUGUCUUUAUUUGUUGUUGCCAAGUUACAGAACCAUUUCCAUUUCAUCUGAAGUCAGUGGCCUCAGGUAGCAGCUGAAGAAAAGUACAAAAUGGUUGUAGACAUUCAUGCUGGAAAAAGCAAGCUAAUAGACACAGACACACACUAUUAGAGCAAAAGGUGAACAAUCUAAAUUAAGGAUGGGGAACCUGUGACCCUCCAGAUGUUGUCAAGAGUCCAACUCCCAAGAGCCCCAGCCAGAACAGCCAAUGGUCAGGGAUGAUAGGAGCUAUAGGCCAACAACAUCUGAUAGGCCUCAGGUUCAUUAUACAUGGUAGACUGGCAGUCACCAACCCGGUGUCCUCCAAAUGUUUGGACUACUACAUACCAAUGGCCAGAGAUGAUGGGAGUUGUGGUCCAAAAAAAUCUGGAGGGCAUCAGACUGCGAAAGGCUGCUGUAGAGUUUCCAGUAGUUUUAUUUUAAAUGUACAGCCAGAUUCUGUUCGUGGUUACAUGGAAGUUAAGUCCCUACUAUGGAUAAUGCACUUUGUGCACAAGAAUGUAGUUUCACUGUUUCAUCUUCUUCCUCGCCACUGGGUAACUGCUGAAGGGUCUCUCCUAUCUGGAAAUGUGGGCAGACCAGCGAGUGUAGCUUUCUGGCAGGCCUGUGGCUGGGCAGCUCUGUUCUACCCUUUCUCCAGACCUCUGUUUUUAAUACUGUCUCUUUAGGCACUUACUUUUAAUUACCAUUCCUAGCUUCUGUUUUUAUCUUCUCCCUCUCCCUCUUUUAAAGUUGAAAAUGGACUGUUACUUUGUGAAUGGAGAACACUUUAUUCUUUGAAUGCUGAGCAAUUCUGAAUGCAGUUUAUUCUCCCAUCAAGAGACAUCUCCUAAUGCAAGGCUUUGGGUGAAAACAAAAAUAAAAAAAUCUUUAGUGAUUAAAUGACACAUUUCUACAUCUCACAGAUAAGAAAUGAAGCAAAAAUAUGUACACUUUUCUCACUGUAAGAGCUGAUCCACACAUUCAUUUUGACUUUUUUAAUGUGGCUUUUAUUGCAUGGUUUUAUGUAUAAUUGUUGUAAACUGCUGUAUUAUUUAAAUUCUUAUUUAUUUAUUUAUUUCAUAAAAUUUAUGCACUGCUUGAUUGCAGAAAACCUCAAAGCCUAGGCUGCCCCAAUAAACACAAAGAGAAUUAAGUCUGAGUAGACAUGUAUAUGACUGUACGACAAGUUUAUACUGUGACUUCUUAAUCAGUGUCUGAUCUUUAGCUCCUGCACAGCAGUAGACAAGUCAAAGCCUUCCUGCAGUUUUUCAAAUAUGCCUCUUGGGGUGAAGGGGGAUUCUUUAACAUCUCUCAGCACUUAAUGUGUAGUGGUAUUUGCAGAACAUAACUACCUGAACUCAGGUGAGUUAACAACAGGGAAGAUGCAUCCCAGUUGCCAGGGGAGGGCAAAUUAUGGAGAUUUCAAGGACUAGAAAAUAUGACAGAGGUUGGAAAAGUGCACUAAAGGGGAUGGAGAAACAGCACCUCUUCAGGACCCCAGGGAUUCCUGUUGCUGGUGUCCAAAACUCACUUGUCAAUGACAGUUCUGACUUAUUCAUUGGCUAAAAACACUGACAGGUGGGAGAAGCCAGGCUGGCAUGUUACCCAGAAAUUGCUUAGAAUGGUGUCUGUACAUUUUGUAACAUUAUUUAUAGGAGGCCCAGAAACUUACUUUUUAAAAAAACCCAACAACAACAACAACAACCCACAAGAAUCUGGGGCUGCAGCCUGAGGGGGACUGAUGAAGGCCAACAUGGGUCCCAUGACACUUGCAGGGGCUGAGUUGGUGACCCACAUUUAAUGAGAUAAAGUGAAGUUCAGAACUAGGCAUACAUACAUAGAUAAGUAGGAUGAUGCAGCUAAAUCUCUAUCAUAUCCAGCAAGUCAACCGUUUGCAGGUGAUUUGAAUAUUCAGUUAAACAGAAUAAUUUGAUAUUAUUGUUCAGGAAUAAUGCACAAAUUUAACUUGUCCAUUCCAGCCCACCCCAUCUCACACAGAACAAAGUGCCUGCAGUGAAGAACAAGUUGAACACAAAAUGUAUGACAUACAUUUCCAGGUGCCCAACCGUAUCGUUUUUAACUAAUGCUAGCUUCAUUUCUGACUCUCAUGAGAUCAUAAAAUACAGAAUGCAAAUACUUCUUCUGUGGUAUUGAGCCCCCAAACCCACAUAUAACAGCCCAGUAUAUCUUCAUUAACAAGAAACAUUUCUAUUGAUUUUAUUUGGCUAUGAUUCAUAUUACACAUAACAAAUAUGUAUGGUCACCUAAAUGAAUUAUUGCAAUUCAAUUUGGAAUGAUUGCAUAAGGCUAUUGUAUUAUCUCUAGGAUGCCCUAGUCUCUCGGUGUCAAAACUGUUUUUAUUUAAUGAAAUAACAUGGAAAAGUUAAUCGGAAUAGGUUAACCUCCAUGGAUCUCAAGGUCGGUACAUUCAUCUCCUGCAAAUGGGGAUUUUUAAAAAUUUGGGGAAAGAAGUCUAGAUAUUGGAAAAGCAAGGAAAGGCUGCGUAAGACUGUUAUGAGCAGGAUUGCACUUUGUGACAUUUCCAUUCAUAACCUAGAAGAUCUAGAAGUUCUUCGAAAGAAAGAAAUAUUGUAUAAGGUUAUGUAUAAUAAAAAAACAGCAGUCUUAGCAUGAAUAACAAUAAAGCCAGAAGUGGAUGAACUAUGGAAGGAAGUAGAUGUCCACUUACUGGCCUGGUGGCACUGUCUGAACAGCUGUCUUGUCUGUAAGCUGUGACUGCCCAUUAAGGCAAAUGUUAUCAACCAACUCAUUCUCUGGACUUCUGAGUGAUUACAGAAGUCUAAAAAGGGUCUGCUUUGUCUUAUUAUCAGAGCCUACCAGAUCUCACUGUUAUUAGAGCUAUCAUGUAGAAUGCCUUUGGUAUAUAAAUGGCAUGGAAAUUAUUUAAAUAAAUAAAAUUAACAUAGCAAAUGGUUGUCUGUUCCCACACUGUGUCAUAGAAUUAUCAGAAACUUAAGGUGAACAAAGCCUUCUAUUAUAUAUGAUUUCUAGGCUUUUUCAGUUCUUAUAAUAUACACC
Non-coding RNA from Podarcis lilfordi (Lilford's wall lizard), 3691 nucleotides. Lineage: Eukaryota; Metazoa; Chordata; Lepidosauria; Squamata; Lacertidae. The record is from the annotation of a GenBank genome assembly.